CUGCUGCCUCCCGUAGGAGUUUGGGCCGUGUCUCAGUACCAAUGUGGCCGUCCACCCUCUCAGGCCGGCUACUGAUCGUCGCUUUGGUAGGCCGUUACCCUGCCAACUGGCUAAUCAGACGCGGGUCCAUCAUAUACCACCGGAGUUUUUCACACUGAGUCAUGCGACUCCGUGCGCUUAUGCGGUUUUAGCAGCAAUUUCUCGCUGUUAUCCCCCUGUAUAUGGCAGGUUACCCACGCGUUACUCACCCGUCCG
RNAcentral lists this ribosomal RNA (255 nucleotides) under uncultured bacterium. RNAcentral's name for it is "partial 16S ribosomal RNA". The record is from RNAcentral.